GACAGAGGGUGCAAACGUUGCUCGGAAUUACUGGGCGUAAAGCGCGUGUAGGCGGACCACCAAGUCGGACGUGAAAGCCCUGAGCUCAACUCAGGAACUGCAUCCGAAACUGGCGGUCUGGAGUGGUGGAGAGGAAAGCAGAAUUCCUGGUGUAGAGGUGAAAUUCGUAGAUAUCAGGAGGAACACCGGUGGCGAAGGCGGCUAUCUGGACGGUUUCUGACGCUAAGACGCGAAAGCGUGGGGAGCAAACAGG
RNAcentral lists this ribosomal RNA (253 nucleotides) under uncultured bacterium. RNAcentral's name for it is "partial 16S ribosomal RNA". It matches the Rfam family "Bacterial small subunit ribosomal RNA", at positions 524 to 776 of the family's 1533-position model. The record is from RNAcentral.